AAUAGAUACCCGGGUAGUCCACGCCGUAAACGAUGAGUGCUAAGUGUUAGAGGGUUUCCGCCCUUUAGUGCUGCAGCUAACGCAUUAAGCACUCCGCCUGGGGAGUACGGCCGCAAGGCUGAAACUCAAAGGAAUUGACGGGGGCCCGCACAAGCGGUGGAGCAUGUGGUUUAAUUCGAAGCAACGCGAAGAACCUUACCAGGUCUUGACAUCCUCUGCCAACCCUAGAGAUAGGGCGUUCCCCUUCGGGGGACAGAGUGACAGGUGGUGCAUGGUUGUCGUCAGCUCGUGUCGUGAGAUGUUGGGUUAAGUCCCGCAACGAGCGCAACCCUUGAUCUUAGUUGCCAGCAUUCAGUUGGGCACUCUAAGGUGACUGCCGGUGACAAACCGGAGGAAGGUGGGGAUGACGUCAAAUCAUCAUGCCCCUUAUGACCUGGGCUACACACGUGCUACAAUGGAUGGUACAAGAGCUGCGAACCCGCGAGGGUAANCGAAUCUCAUAAAGCCAUUCUCAGUUCGGAUUGU
This 525-nucleotide ribosomal RNA is filed under the name uncultured bacterium. RNAcentral's name for it is "bacterial SSU rRNA". It matches the Rfam family "Bacterial small subunit ribosomal RNA", at positions 777 to 1301 of the family's 1533-position model. The record is from RNAcentral.